UGAGGAAUAUUGGUCAAUGGACGGAAGUCUGAACCAGCCAAGUAGCGUGCAGGAUGACGGCCCUAUGGGUUGUAAACUGCUUUUGUAUGGGGAUAAAGUUAGGGACGUGUCCCUAUUUGCAGGUACCAUACGAAUAAGGACCGGCUAAUUCCGUGCCAGCAGCCGCGGUAAUACGGAAGGUCCAGGCGUUAUCCGGAUUUAUUGGGUUUAAAGGGAGCGUAGGCCGUUUGGUAAGCGUGUUGUGAAAUGUAGGAGCUCAACUUCUAGAUUGCAGCGCGAACUGUCAGACUUGAGUGCGCACAACGUAGGCGGAAUUCAUGGUGUAGCGGUGAAAUGCUUAGAUAUCAUGAAGAACUCCGAUUGCGAAGGCAGCUUACGGGAGCGCAACUGACGCUGAAGCUCGAAGGUGCGGGUAUCGAACAGG
RNAcentral lists this ribosomal RNA (424 nucleotides) under Verrucomicrobiota bacterium. RNAcentral's name for it is "Verrucomicrobia bacterium partial 16S ribosomal RNA". It matches the Rfam family "Bacterial small subunit ribosomal RNA", at positions 355 to 776 of the family's 1533-position model. Lineage: Bacteria; Pseudomonadati; Verrucomicrobiota. The record is from RNAcentral.